ACCUUAGAGACCAACUAAGUUUGUUCUUGGUAUAAGCUUUAGUGUGCAUGCACACUAAAGCUUAUACCAAGAACAAACUUAGUUGGUCUCUAAGGU
Non-coding RNA from Podarcis lilfordi (Lilford's wall lizard), 96 nucleotides. NCBI's taxonomy places the organism in Eukaryota, Metazoa, Chordata, Lepidosauria, Squamata, Lacertidae. The record is from the annotation of a GenBank genome assembly.